GGAAGCCUACGGGGGGCAGCAGUAGGGAAUCUUCCACAAUGGACGAAAGUCUGAUGGAGCAACGCCGCGUGAGUGAAGAAGGGUUUCGGCUCGUAAAACUCUGUUGGUAGUGAAGAAAGAUAGAGGUAGUAACUGGCCUUUAUUUGACGGUAAUUACUUAGAAAGUCACGGCUAACUACGUGCCAGCAGCCGCGGUAAUACGUAGGUGGCAAACGUUGGCCGGCUUUAUUGGGCGUAA
This 238-nucleotide ribosomal RNA is filed under the name uncultured bacterium. Its description in RNAcentral is "partial 16S ribosomal RNA". It matches the Rfam family "Bacterial small subunit ribosomal RNA", at positions 333 to 563 of the family's 1533-position model. The record is from RNAcentral.